CUGGCGGCGUGCCUAACACAUGCAAGUCGAGCGAUGAAAUCCUUCGGGAUGGAUUAGCGGCGGACGGGUGAGUAACACGUGGGUAACCUGCCUUGUAGAGGGGGAUAGCCUUCCGAAAGGAAGAUUAAUACCGCAUAACAUCUUUUUUAUCGCAUGGUAGAAAGAUCAAAGGAGCAAUCCGCUACAAGAUGGACCCGCGGCGCAUUAGCUAGUUGGUGAGGUAACGGCUCACCAAGGCGACGAUGCGUAGCCGACCUGAGAGGGUGAUCGGCCACAUUGGAACUGAGACACGGUCCAGACUCCUACGGGAGGCAGCAGUGGGGAAUAUUGCGCAAUGGGGGGAAACCCUGACGCAGCAACGCCGCGUGAAUGAAGAAGGCCUUAGGGUUGUAAAGUUCUGUUUACGGGGACGAUAAUGACGGUACCCGUGGAGGAAGCCACGGCUAACUACGUGCCAGCCGCGGC
This 465-nucleotide ribosomal RNA is filed under the name uncultured bacterium. Its description in RNAcentral is "bacterial SSU rRNA". It matches the Rfam family "Bacterial small subunit ribosomal RNA", at positions 36 to 518 of the family's 1533-position model. The record is from RNAcentral.